RNAcentral lists this ribosomal RNA (253 nucleotides) under uncultured bacterium. Its description in RNAcentral is "partial 16S ribosomal RNA". It matches the Rfam family "Bacterial small subunit ribosomal RNA", at positions 524 to 776 of the family's 1533-position model. The record is from RNAcentral.
UACAGAGGGUGCAAGCGUUGUUCGGAAUUAUUGGGCGUAAAGCGCGUGUAGGCGGCUUUGCAAGUCGGGUGUGAAAGCCCUCAGCUCAACUGAGGAAGUGCGCCUGAAACUGCAUGGCUUGAGUACCGGAGAGGAUGGUGGAAUUCCCGAAGUAGAGGUGAAAUUCGUAGAUAUCGGGAGGAACACCGGUGGCGAAGGCGACCAUCUGGACGGAUACUGACGCUGAGACGCGAAAGCGUGGGUAGCAAACAGG